Molecule: long non-coding RNA, 1471 nt
Filed under: Numida meleagris (helmeted guineafowl)
Lineage: Eukaryota; Metazoa; Chordata; Aves; Galliformes; Numididae
Description: lncRNA (ENSNMEG00000019191.1)
Source: RNAcentral
ACCUGCCUAUUCUAGUAACUCAGCAUCACUUGGUGAUCUGUGUAGUCAAAAAAAAACAAUAAAUACAAAAUACCUGCCUCCUGUGUAGCUGUAAGAAUGAGCAUUGGUCCUGAAAAUAGUGAAAUAGAUCAGCAGAGCAUUUCUCCCAGGCUUAAAUGGAGAGCUCUUCUAAAAAUGUUCACCUUCUACCAAUUCCAGACUUAAGUUACUGUCUGAAAGCUUAGAUAUCUUUAAAUGACACUACAUUGCUAGUUUAGAGAUGCUCAGAUAAAUACACUGAGAUAAAGAGGACUCGAGAGGAGACUGAAGGGAAAAAAGAUAAAAGAAACUCUUCUCUUGAGAGGAGAAAAUACGUGCCUGCUCCCUUAGUUCUUUCUUCACCCAGGAGGAACGUCCACAGCAGCUUUGCAGGGAGGAGACUGCAUACACCAGUACUCCACAAUGGAACCCUGGUGGACUGUGGCUAUGAUAAGAUCUGCAAAGGUCAUACAGCAGUGACAGGAUGGCAGAACUCAGAGGCAGUCACUGUCAGCUCAGAGCCACACAAGCAAGCUCACACUGAUCCGUGCAGAAAAUCCCCAGAGAGGAUCUGCCCUGGGUGAGAUCCCAGACAGCUGAGAGGCUCCAGAGACUGGACAAAAGUAAUCUGAACUUCUGUGUUGACCUAAUCUUUCAGCUUAGGCUAGCCAAGUCACUUAGAGUUGGAUCGGUAAGAAAAGGGGGCUGAGAGUAGCUAGGAGUUGUUAUAACUCCAGGGCAUCACAAGGCACAGCUGUAGCCACUGGCAAACUUGCCCUGGGCAACUGAUCUAGCUGUGAAUGUCCCUGUUCAUUGCAGGGGAGCUGGACUAGAUGGCCUUCAGAGGUCCCUUCCAACUCUAAGGAUUCUAUGAUCUGUGGUUCAGUCUGUGAAGAGCAAGACUAACUGGGAUCUAGGAGGGUUAGUACAGAUUCUAAACUCUAUGUUGAAAUCUUCAGAGUCUUGGCAAUUGCCAGGUGAAGAAAGAACCACAGUGGGAUCUGGAUAACCAUUUCAAAUUUCAAAAUCUCUGUGGAGGUCAUCUAAUUCUUCAACUAAUCUAUUGAUUUCCUGUGUGAACCUUUCCAAUCAAAAGCAUCGUGCUUGCUACUCUGCCUGAAAGAGUUCAAAAGCUAAAAAGACUGCAGAUGACACAUUUCCCCAUUACUCCACCCAAAAACAUAACACUUUUGUGAGAGAUACUAAAGACAUCAGAGAAUCCAAAACACUGUGAUGUUUUGAUAGAAGAAACAAAUGACUGCAGGCUCACUCACAGCACUAGGUGAGUGUCAGAUUGAAAGGAACAUUCCAAAAACAAAAGCAUCAAAGAAAAGAUGUGUAGCUCUCCUACAUACAGAUGGAUAGAGAACAAAAGCCAUUCCAACAUUACUGGGUUACCCCAUUCCUUAGGUUUAUGAGGAAUAAAUAUUAUGUACAAUGGAAGUGUCUACCA